RNAcentral lists this ribosomal RNA (425 nucleotides) under bacterium 201_oclvp283. Its description in RNAcentral is "bacterial SSU rRNA". It matches the Rfam family "Bacterial small subunit ribosomal RNA", at positions 49 to 476 of the family's 1533-position model. The record is from RNAcentral. RNAcentral also lists the same sequence under 1 other name.
CUACACAUGCAGUCGAGGGGUAGAACACUUCGGUGUUUGAGACCGGCGCACGGGUGCGUAACGCGUAUGCAAUCUACCUUAUACAGGGGAAUAGCCCAGAGAAAUUUGGAUUAAUGCCCCAUAGUGUUAUAGAAUCGCAUGGUUUUAUAACUAANGUUCCAACGGUAUAAGAUGAGCAUGCGUCCCAUUAGUUAGUUGGUAAGGUAACGGCUUACCAAGACNAUGAUGGGUAGGGGUCCUGAGAGGGAGAUCCCCCACACUGGUACUGAGACACGGACCAGACUCCUACGGGAGGCAGCAGUGAGGAAUAUUGGUCAAUGGGCGCAAGCCUGAACCAGCCAUGCCGCGUGCAGGAAGAAGCAUCUAUGGUGUGUAAACUGCUUUUAUACAGGAAGAAACACCUCCACGUGUGGAGGCUUGACGGU